AGAGUUUGAUCAUGGCUCAGAAUCAACGCUGGCGGCGUGCCUAACACAUGCAAGUCGAACGAGAAAGUGGAGCAAUCCAUGAGUAAAGUGGCGACCGGGUGAGUAACACGUGACUAACCUACCUUUCAGUGGGGAAUAACCUCGGGAAACCGGGGCUAAUACCGCAUAAUGUCUACGGACCAAAGGAGCAAUUCGCUGGAAGAGGGGGUCGCGGCCGAUUAGCUAGUUGGCGGGGUAACGGCCCACCAAGGCAAUGAUCGGUAGCCGGCCUGAGAGGGCGCACGGCCACACUGGAACUGAAACACGGUCCAGACUCCUACGGGAGGCAGCAGUGGGGAAUUUUGCGCAAUGGGGGAAACCCUGACGCAGCAACGCCGCGUGGAGGAUGAAGCCCCUUGGGGUGUAAACUCCUUUCGAUCGGGACGAUGAUGACGGUACCCGAUAGAAGAAGCACCGGCUAACUCUGUGCCAGCAGCCGCGGUAAUACAGAGGGUGCAAGCGUUGUUCGGAAUUACUGGGCGUAAAGGGUGCGUAGGCGGUGCGGUAAGUCUGUUGUGAAAGCCCACGGCUCAACCGUGGAGUGCAUUGGAAACUGCCGUACUUGAGUGCAGGAGAGAAGAGCGGAAUUCCAGGUGUAGCGGUGAAAUGCGUAGAUAUCUGGAGGAACACCUGUGGCGAAGGCGGCUCUUUGGCCUGUAACUGACGCUGAGGCACGAAAGCUAGGGGAGCAAACAGGAUUAGAUACCCUGGUAGUCCUAGCCGUAAACGAUGAGUGCUAGGUGUGGGGGGUACCCAAUCCCUUCGUGCCGUAGCUAACGCAUUAAGCACUCCGCCUGGGGAGUACGGCCGCAAGGCUGAAACUCAAAGGAAUUGACGGGGGCCCGCACAAGCGGUGGAGUAUGUGGUUUAAUUCGAAGCAACGCGGAGAACCUUACCUGGGCUUGACAUCCUCUGACAAGCCUAGAGAUAGGCUUUUCCCGCAAGGGACAGAGGAUAGGUGGUGCAUGGUUGUCGUCAGCUCGUGUCGUGAGAUGUUGGGUUAAGUCCCGCAACGAGCGCAACCCCUGUCUCUAGUUGCUAACAGGAAAGCUGAGCACUCUAGAGGGACUGCCGGGGAUAACCCGGAGGAAGGUGGGGAUGACGUCAAGUCCUCAUGGCCUUUAUGUCCAGGGCUACACACGUACUACAAUGGACGGCACAAAGAGUCGCAAACCCGCGAGGGGGAGCUAAUCUCAAAAAGCCGUUCUCAGUUCGGAUUGGAGUCUGCAACUCGACUCCAUGAAGCUGGAAUCGCUAGUAAUCGCGGAUCAGCACGCCGCGGUGAAUACGUUCCCGGGCCUUGUACACACCGCCCGUCACAUCACGAAAGCCGGUUGUACUAGAAGCCGGUAAGCUAACCGCAAGGAGGUAGCCGUCCAAGGUAUGACUCAUGAUUGGGGUGAAGUCGUAACAAGGUAACCGU
Molecule: ribosomal RNA, 1462 nt
Filed under: uncultured bacterium DA054
Lineage: Bacteria; Pseudomonadati; Acidobacteriota
Description: bacterial SSU rRNA
Rfam family: Bacterial small subunit ribosomal RNA
Source: RNAcentral